AUUGAACGCUGGCGGCAGGCCUAACACAUGCAAGUCGAGCGGAUGAAGGGAGCUUGCUCCUGUAUUCAGCGGCGGACGGGUGAGUAAUUCCUAGGAAUCUGCCUGGCAGUGGGGGAUAACGUCCGUAAACGGGCGCUAAUCCCGCAUACGUCCUGAGGUAGAACGUGGGGGAUCUUCGGACCUCACGCUAUCAGAUGAGCCUAGGUCGGAUUAGCUAGUUGGUGGGGUAAAGGCCUACCAAGGCGACGAUCCGUAACUGGUCUGAGAGGAUGAUCAGUCACACUGGAACUGAGACACGGUCCAGACUCCUACGGGAGGCAGCAGUGGGGAAUAUUGGACAAUGGGCGAAAGCCUGAUCCAGCCAUGCCGCGUGUGUGAAGAAGGUCUUCGGAUUGUAAAGCACUUUAAGUUGGGAGGAAGAGAAGUAAGUUAAUACCUGGAUGUUUUGACGUUACCAACAGAAUAAGCACCGGCUAACUUCGUG
RNAcentral lists this ribosomal RNA (484 nucleotides) under uncultured bacterium. RNAcentral describes it as "partial 16S ribosomal RNA". It matches the Rfam family "Bacterial small subunit ribosomal RNA", at positions 30 to 507 of the family's 1533-position model. The record is from RNAcentral.